RNAcentral lists this ribosomal RNA (321 nucleotides) under uncultured eukaryote. RNAcentral's name for it is "partial 18S ribosomal RNA". It matches the Rfam family "Eukaryotic small subunit ribosomal RNA", at positions 1470 to 1796 of the family's 1831-position model. The record is from RNAcentral.
CCCUUAGAUGUUCUGGGCCGCACGCGUGCUACACUGAGUGGAUCAGCGGGUCAGGUUGCGCGAAAGUGUUUCCUAAUCUUUAAAUCCGCUCGUGAUGGGGAUUGACGGUUGCAAUUUUCCGUCAUGAACGAGGAAUACCUUGUAAGCGCGGGUCAUCAUCCCGCGCUGAAUACGUCCCUGCCCUUUGUACACACCGCCCGUCGCUCCUACCGAUUGAGUGGUCCGGUGAGGCUUUGGGAUCUGAGCGGAAAGAGCGUUUCGCUGUUUCUGCCCGGAAAACUCAGUCGAACCUUAUCAUUUAGAGGAAGGAGAAGUCGUACA